This is a long non-coding RNA of Hemicordylus capensis (graceful crag lizard), 3190 nucleotides long. RefSeq lists it as uncharacterized. Lineage: Eukaryota; Metazoa; Chordata; Lepidosauria; Squamata; Cordylidae. The transcript has 3 exons. The record is from RefSeq and is a predicted model, not a curated record.
UCGAAACUUAGACCGAAAGAAGGAAAGGAGUCGGAGACAGCAGCCGGUGGGAGGCAGGGAUUUUGUAGAUGCUCUUUCCAAUCGAGGUGAAACCACAGCCAGUCGGUCGGCCAGAUCGUGCUGCCACUUCCUGGCUUGUAAUCCGGGUCAUCUUCCUUCCUACUCAGACACUGUCGGGGCAGAAAAUCGAGGCCACCCCAUCCAAAGACUUUGGGUGUUGCACAACAAAUUUUAAAAGGCAUAAAAACAAACACCAUUUAAAACACACUGCUUAUAACAAUAUAAAAACAAUUUGAAAACAAUUCAAAAUCAUUUAAAACCAAUUAAAAGACCCCAAAACAAUUUAAAAUCCUUGGAAGGCCAGGCCAAACAAGUAAGUUUUUAGGGCUCUCUAAAGGCCAACAGCAAGCCAAAACUGCAGAUAUCUUCAUACUAGGCCAGGAGCAGCUACAGAGAAGGCCCGGUUUCAAGUUGCCACCAGAGGUACCAGUGGUAACUGGAGAUGGACCUCUCCAGAUCUCAGCGUGCGAUGGGAAUCAUACGGAAGAAGGCACCCUCUAAGGUAGCCCGGACCCAAGCCAUUCAGGGCUUUAAAGAGACUCCCCAGAAUCACAGGUAGAGGAGGACCCCAAAGAAAAGGAGGACUUGCAAAGAAAUGGCAACUUUAAGAAAUUCCAACUCUCCUUCUGCAGAAGAAACCAAACCUGAUCCAGGAGUAGAACCAAAGAAACUCGGUUCAUUGGACACAAAGCAGAAGCACAUUUUUUUUAGAAUCCUGAAACGUUUACUCGAAGAGCCCUAUUCUUUACAAGUAGGUGCGUGGGAUGAGGAUCAGCAUGCCGGAAGUAAAUUCAGACUUCAUUAUGGGAAGAACACUUGUCAGAUCAGCAUUUCAGAUGCUGACGGGCACAUUCAAAAGAAGGAGGUUGCACUGCUUGAUGUCUACCUUAAAUGGCGUGAAGGCAUUGUGGAAUCACUCACCCUGGAGAACCUCCAGACAGUGCAGAAUGAGUUGAAGUUCCUGGGAUUUAAGAAUGAAAAAGUGAAUGCUUGUUUUUCCCUUGCCAGAAAUGAAUUUAUUAAGGAGCCUUUUUUAAAAAGGCGUUUCUUCUACCUGAAAAUCAUUUGCGAGGAAGUUGCUUUCUUCUUUGGCCAGUGCAAUACCGAUGUGGGGGUCACAGUAAUGUAUGAUGAUAAAAAUAAAAGAGCUGCAUAUUAUCUAACAGACAAGGAAAAUGGUUUAUACACAGUGAAAACUAAGUUGGGUUGAUAGUUUUUCAGGAUGACCUGUUUUCCGAGCCCACUCGAGAGCCCACUAAACUUAAAUCUUGGGUGAAAUAGCUUUGUUUCAAAAGGAAUACUGCUUGCUGUGGCCAUUAGUGUAAAUAGCUAUCAUUUUAUAAAUCUUAUUAAUUGCCAGUCUCUUGCAACCAAUCCUACCUAAACUAUUGGCUUGUUCCAGAUUGCUACUCUUACGAAAGUUAUUUCUCUCUUGACUGAUAUCCAAACCACAUGUGAUGGCAGCAGAGCCUUGUCUUCAUCCAUGGUUUUCCUAGACACUCUUCCCCCCCACUCCCCACUGAGUUUUGCCAGCCCCUCUUCUAGCAGCUCACUAAUGAAGUGUAAAUAAAACAAAACUGCUGGGCCAGCCCAAGGGUUGAGGGGCUCCUCCCCAGGCGAAGUGGGUGCCCCAAGCCUCCUCCAUCCACACAGGCAAGUGUGGGCGGGCUGGCGGCAGACUGGGCAGGCACUUGCCCUCCCCUGGCAGCCCAUGGCAAAAAGAGCAAGGGGAGGCCCACUGCAGUGAGAAGAGUAAGGGGCAGGCGAGCAGUGGCCACUCGCUCUCCUCACUGCUGCUCACGCUGCUGGCAGCCCAGCAUGGCAUCUUAUAAUGACAUUGCCUCAUGAGGUGAUGUCAUUAUAAUGUGUUGUGGUGGGUUGCUGCUGGCAGGAACAGGCAGCAAGAAAAGUGAAUGGGUGCUUCCCAUGCCCCGCCUCUUGCUCCUCUUGCCUUGGCAGGCCGCCUGUUCCGGCUGUGGCUUGUUAUAAUGGCAUCGCUGCGUGUGGAAGGUGGCGGCAGCCUGCUGAGGUGACAGGAGCAAGGGGUAGGGGAUAGGGAGCUCCUGCGUCAUCCAUUGCCCAUCCCUGCCCACUUGCUCGCUCCCAUCAGCCUGCGGGGCAACACGUGACCUGGGCCAUCAGCACCCCUCCCCGCUUGGCACUGUAGGUGACAACCUAGUUUGCCUAGCUGGCCCUGGGAGCCUGUAAAUUAAUUAAUUACAAUUAAUUCCCCCCUUCCAAAAACCAUGCUGCACAGGAGGAAUGGUGCGACCAGACCUCCUAGCUGGGUAAAUCUGCAGCACUUCUACUUGGGUUACAUAAGUAAGCCAAAACUCCCUAUUAGCUAAUGCAGGUUGUAGCUGUUUAGCAGACUAGUUCAUCUUUGUCCUCCUGAUGAAUGGUUUGAAAUCACAGAGGGCAGUCUCGCCUAUUGUUUUGACAAUUGCUGGGUGAUUAAAAUGGUGGAACCAUUCACAUCCGUGACCUCCUCUGGUAGCUAAAGAUUUUCCCUAUAUUUCCUGUCUCUGAGAUGCCGGACAAAGCAGGGACACAUUCUCAAACUGUUUGAUGCUUAGUUCUAUACACACGUACAUGAGAAUAAGCCCCCUUGAACUCAAAACUGUUCAGGAUUGAUGCAAUAAAUAUUUAAAAGUAGAUCUGGAUAUGUCCAUCUGUUACCCAAGCCUACCCACCUUCCUGAAUUGUUCUUAAAUGUAAAAACUGAAAUGGCAAGAAAACCCUUUUAAAAAACCCCAUAGCAGUAGUGUUUAAUUAAUCCCCAAAUAUUCUUCCAUAUUCAAUAUUAUUCAAUAUUAUAAGGCUUCAUAUGGGGCAAAAGGUGGUGAACUGUCUUUGAGAGUUCGAGGUGCAGCAGAAUGCGGGGGUGGCUGACUAUGCAUGGAAUGUGAAGAGGGGAUGCUGGUUGACUGAAAUGUAGACUGGAGAUUGUAUGCAGGUGAAUUUUGGAUUAUAUGGGCCUAUGUCUUGAUAGUCAUUUUAUUAUAAUCAAAUGUAUUUGUGCAUAUAGUUCUAAUGAUUAUGUAUUGGAUUUGUUAUUCUUUGAUGCCCAGAGACAAGUAUUGGGUGGUAAAUAAAUAUGUUAAAUAAAUAAAGUGUUAUCUGCCAUGGA